UACAGAGGUGGCAAGCGUUGUUCGGAAUUACUGGGCGUAAAGGGCGCGUAGGCGGUUCGUCAAGUCCUGUGUGAAAUCCCCCGGCUCAACUGGGGAACUGCACAGGAAACUAGCGGGCUUGAGUUCGGGAGAGGGAAGCGGAAUUCCGGGUGUAGCGGUGAAAUGCGUAGAUAUCCGGAGGAACACCAGUGGCGAAGGCGGCUCACUGGCCCGAUACUGACGCUGAGGCACGAAAGCGUGGGGAGCAAACAGG
RNAcentral lists this ribosomal RNA (253 nucleotides) under uncultured bacterium. Its description in RNAcentral is "partial 16S ribosomal RNA". It matches the Rfam family "Bacterial small subunit ribosomal RNA", at positions 524 to 776 of the family's 1533-position model. The record is from RNAcentral.